AAUUCCAUGCAAGUGGAAAUGAGAAAAUUUUCGCCUUCGGCGAAAUUAGACUACUUUUAAAAACACAAUAACUUUUCGAAAUAUUACGUUGGGGCACUGCCCCCCCUGGCCAUUCAUCCUGGCUACGGGCCUGGUAUCCAAGUUACAA
Long non-coding RNA from Bradysia coprophila, 148 nucleotides. Lineage: Eukaryota; Metazoa; Arthropoda; Insecta; Diptera; Sciaridae. The record is from RefSeq and is a predicted model, not a curated record.